This 253-nucleotide ribosomal RNA is filed under the name uncultured bacterium. RNAcentral describes it as "partial 16S ribosomal RNA". It matches the Rfam family "Bacterial small subunit ribosomal RNA", at positions 524 to 776 of the family's 1533-position model. The record is from RNAcentral.
UACGGAGGUGGCAAGCGUUGCUCGGAAUCACUGGGCGUAAAGCGCACGUAGGCGGAUUGUUAAGUCAGGGGUGAAAUCCUGGAGCUCAACUCCAGAACUGCCUUUGAUACUGGCGAUCUUGAGUCCGGGAGAGGUGAGUGGAACUGCGAGUGUAGAGGUGAAAUUCGUAGAUAUUCGCAAGAACACCAGUGGCGAAGGCGGCUCACUGGCCCGGUGCUGACGCUGAGGUGCGAAAGCGUGGGGAGCAAACAGG